GUCCCGGUGGCCGAGUGGUUAAGGCGAUGCCCUGCUAUUAAUCUAUGAUAGCAAUUAGGCAUUGGGCUAUGCCUUCGCAGGUUCGAAUCCUGUCCGUGACG
RNAcentral lists this transfer RNA (101 nucleotides) under Zygosaccharomyces rouxii. RNAcentral describes it as "tRNA-Ser". It matches the Rfam family "tRNA". From Rfam's summary of the family: Transfer RNA (tRNA) molecules are approximately 80 nucleotides in length. Their secondary structure includes four short double-helical elements and three loops (D, anti-codon, and T loops). Lineage: Eukaryota; Fungi; Ascomycota; Saccharomycetes; Saccharomycetales; Saccharomycetaceae. The record is from RNAcentral.